Non-coding RNA from Ictidomys tridecemlineatus (thirteen-lined ground squirrel), 4265 nucleotides. The record is from RefSeq and is a predicted model, not a curated record. Lineage: Eukaryota; Metazoa; Chordata; Mammalia; Rodentia; Sciuridae.
ACCUGAUAUUUUGCUGAGGGGACUAGUGAGAUUCCAAAGCUCAAUUUGCUAGAGUGUGCAAAAUGCUAAUCAGCUUCAGCAGUCAGCAAAGUGGCAGGGGGGCGUGCCUCUGUAAAGGGGGGGCGAGGAGGCCGCCCUGACUGGGAGCCAGGAGGAGUCUGGCUGACUCAGCGACUCCUGCCAAGUGCAUGUCCCUCCUCAUUCAUUUCCAUGGUGACCUUUUCUCAGAGAUCAAGGGGAGGGCCGAGAACAACUGAGAACAACCAUGUUUCUUUGCACCAAGAAAAUUGAUAUGCGUCAGGGUCAUUGACAAGAGAAUCAAGGGGUUGUCCAAAUUGGGAGAUGCCAGUUUUGAUAAAUGCUUCCAUAUCUCUAGAGCUGGACCAUUUAAAGUCCCCAGUUAGAUUGGAAAAAGACUUUGGAAAUCCAUCUCUGCAUAGUGGCUCUGAGUUUGGUACCUAGCUCAGUAAAUAUUUGCUGAAUGAAUGAAUGAAUGAAUGAAUGAAGUUCAAGUUAUAUCCAGUUUGUGAUCCAUUCAGGUCUCUAAGAUCCAGUCUCUAACCCACUCAGCUGGGAGUUUCCUUCUGUUUCAUCUUGCAGCUAGGACAACUUUGGCACCCAAAAGGAUGCUUCUUACCUAUACAAGUUCUCUGGCUGAAUGUUGCUAUGAUACAGUCUUGCCAAGAGCUGAUCACUCAGCAACAAGGGGCAACAUCUGAAUGGGACUGAUUCAGCCAGAAGUCCAUUUUUGGCUCAGAUACACAUGAUGAGCCAAACUCAUGUGAGACCAAACUUAGCCUUUUCCUACUCCGUCACUGGUCAUCAGGUACCUCUGGAACCAUGGGGUCUGCUCUAUGGUAUGGCUCAAUGGCAGAGCUCCUUACCCCACAGGUUGGACUUGCUGGUCUAAAUCCUACUGUAAGCUGGCAUCUGUCUUGGUCAACCACAUCAAUAUGUCAGAGCACCACCUUCAACAUACAAGGAACACUCAAGUGGAAAUCCCAUCAUAUUUCCAUGAACCAUGGUUGAUUUGAUGAAGGCAGUCAUAUUCUGUGGGUCAGGCCCCUGGCUGACACACUAACCUCACUGCUUAUGACGAUACUUGUGAUGACAGUUGACCCUCUGUCUCAUGGGUUCUACGGCUGCGCAUUCAACCAUCUGCAGAUGGAAAAUAUUCAAGAAAAGAAAUUGCACCUGUGCUGAACAGGAUAUCUCCCCGUUGGAAAGACGGAGAAGAAGUUCAGGUGGACGGUCACACUGCAAGUCAUCAACCUGUUAUCCUCUGCUUCUGCCAAUCUUUCAGCUAUUUGGAAGUGAACUUGGGAUUUGUUAAAGCAUUUUCAGUUCCUUUGCUGAUAAACAUAAACAAGCUACACUCCACAACAAGUCUGAUAUGGUCCUUCCAACUACUUAAGAAUUGUGCACCUUCUGGACAUUUCUAACAACCAAGAAGACAUUGUCACAUUUUAUAUCCUGUAAUUUGUUUGUUUUAUGGGAAUAGAAUUUGUCUCCCAACUGUAAAACCCCACUAUACUGUUUGGAUCUUGUUUUCAAGACAUUUGGCAGAGAAUUCCUGCCCAUGCAGAGCUGUAGUGUGUCUGUGCACAAUUCCACUAUGGUACAGUGAGGAGGUUCUGUGCUUGGCUCAAGUGUAAAUGUUUGGAGGAUUGCAAUCAUUUUCUCUCAGUAAAAUAUAAUUUACUGCUUCUGGAGCAAAAACAAAAUUAAUAAAUGAUAUAGCACGCAAAACUGUCUUGGCCUUGUACUGCUCAGCAGAGUUUUAGUGAGUUACACUUGAAUGAAUGGGAAACACAUGGAUGAGAUGUCCCUGGUGGCUACUCUGGACUCAGAGAUGGAAGGGGGGAUGUGCUUCACUAAAUGCACCACAUUUUUCUGAACACCAGGUUUGAAAAUGUGUUUGGAUUAUUCCCUGGAGCCCGUGGAAGACUAGCCUUUCUCCUCUGUCCCUAAUAGCACAUAUUGGCAAGGUUGGUGGGAGCUCCCCUGUGUCUGUGCCUGUGGCCAGGGGAUGAGAGCGGGGGUGAGGAGAGUAGAAAGGGACAGUACUAGGACUCUUGAGCCUUGACAGUAGUGAUGCUGAGUUAAAAUUAGGUUUAUUUCUUCCUUUGAUAUAGAAUUGCACUCCAGGGACUUUUCUCGGAAAAAUUUCAUAAUGAGCCAGUGGGACCAAGGGAUCUUUCCAGAACUUUGAGACAAUGAGGGAGACUCUGAACACGGGUUCUCAUUGACAGUUGGUUCUGCCAUGGGCCAGGAAUCUGGGUGUCAGGUCCUCAAAACCCAAUCUUGUUUCUUUAUUGAUAGAGGAGGGUGCUGACACUCUCUCUUCUUCAACUGUGAUAGAUAGUAAAGUUACCUUGUCUGGAAUCCUCUCUCCUCCUGGACACCUCAUGCCUGAUUACUUAAGGCAGGUGCUGUUACAAGAUUCCAAAAAAGACAUUUCCUCAGAGGAGGAAAAUGAUCCACUCAAGGUUGCCCAACUAUCAGUCGCAGAGCUGAGCCCCAGAGUGAUUUAUUCUGAGCCCCAACAGCCACACAGGUGACCUGGCUGAGCCCUCAAGAUGCUGUGAGCAAACUGGCAGGAAGCGUCCCCGUUUUCACCUCUCCUCUCCCCUGAGCCCAGGAGCAGGCCUUUCUCCUUGGACAGCCACACUGGUCCAUUUCUUCUUCCCUCACUUUCCUGCUGGUGAGUCACUGAACAAUGACAGGCUCCGUGAAUAGGCUAGUGUUUAUACCCUGCUUUUCUCCAGCCGGACAGACUUCAGGGUGGACAUUCCAUGCGUGUGGGUGUCCAGCUUAGACCCGGAUUCCUCCAGCGGCGUUGGUAGCAUUCUUCUGUUAUUUCUGCUCAGUUCCUACCUGUUUUCCCUCCUGUUGGCCACACUGCCUUUAUAGCACCAGAAAGGUCCUUUCUGAAGGAUUGAAGAUGCGAUUCUUCAGUUUCAGGUGAAAGCAACUCCCUGGAACCUCACGACUGGUCACUCGCUUCUCGGAGAUUUGGCCAGAGCCAGCACCCAAAUCAGUGCAUUCUGGCUGGGCCUGGGCCUUGGUCUCUUCUUUUAGCUUGUGACAUUUAUUCUGCUCUCUCAUUUGUUUCUGGUGACUCUUGCUUUUGCUUUUGUCCAGGAUUCUCUGGGACUGUUGGUGAACCUCUGCCCUCCUUUUCUUCAGGUGACAUCACACCCCUGGCCUUCACCUAGUUCUUGUCACCAUCUGUGAUUAGGUGGGCUCGGGAUUCUCUGUUGGUUCGUCUACAAAUGGGAACAGCAUACGGUAGCAUACAGUGUCGAGGGGAACAAAGCAGGCUGGCAUUGAGAGCCUUGUCUCUGAGCACUCAUCUGAACGAGAUGACUGAGCACUCAAGAUGCUGUGCGCAAACUGGCAGGAAGCGUCCCCGUUUUCACCUCUCCUCUCCCCUGAGCCCAGGAGCAGGACUUACUCCUUGGACAGCCACACUGCUCCAUUUCCUCUUCCCUCUCUUUCCUGCUGGUGAGUCACCGAAUAAUGACAGGCUCCGUGAAUAGGCUAGGGACUCUUCUCGGAAAGAUUUCUAAUGUACCAGUGGGACAAAGGGAUCUUUUGAGCAUUUUGAGACAAUGAGGGAGACUCUAAAGAAUCUCUAAAGAAAGUGAAAAUUCAAAAGUUGAGUGACUGGUGCAGGGCAGGAUACAGUGGAGGAGUAUGUAGACAACGGUUUUGAGCUCUGUGUGUGUCUAAACCAGGGGGGAUUUUGCCCCUCCAGCAGACAUUCAGCAAUGGUGAGAGAUGCUUUUGGUUGUCUCCACUGGAGGGAAGGUGCCGCUGGCCUCUGGGGACCAGAGCUGCUGCUAGAUACCCUCAAGUGCACAGAAUAGCCCCCCACAGCUAAGACUCAUCUGGCUCAAAACCUUAAUAGUGCCGAGGCUGAGUUCCUACCAUAGAUGACAAACUAUGCACUUUAGACUCAAAGAUAUGCAAAUAUUGCUUUGAUCUUUGUAAUACUAAUAUCUAGGUAUCAAUAAUAAAAUCAACAUUAAUAUCAAUAAUAAAAUCAACACUGAUAUCAAUAUCAAUAUUAAUGUUCGAAUGACAAUUUUAUUAAGUGCUUCUUAUGUGCCAGACAAAUAUGUUAAUGAGUUGAAUCAUUACAAUAAAGCUUUUAAAUAGGUACUUUUACCAUCUUUAUUUUAUAUAGGAUGGAAAGGCUUGAGAGGUUACUUGGUUGUCUCAAGCCACAUACAACUACCCUUGACUGCCUCUCAUUCUGG